Molecule: long non-coding RNA, 464 nt
Organism: Clarias gariepinus (North African catfish)
Lineage: Eukaryota; Metazoa; Chordata; Actinopteri; Siluriformes; Clariidae
Exons: 3
Source: RefSeq, a predicted model, not a curated record
ACAAGGUUUUGAUGGGCAAAACAAACAAGGAGAACAGAAACUGAGAAGGUUAGAGACAGAGGGGUUUUAGAGAAAAAAUAUUAUUUGACAUGUCCUGGAGCUCCAAAACGGAUUUCGCCUGCAAACACAAGGUUUUGACGGACAAAACAAACAAGAAGAACAGGAACUGAGAAGAUUGGCAUAACAUCAGAGACAGAGGGGUUUUAGAGAAAAAUAAUAAUUUGACGAUGCCCUACAACAACAGCUAAAAGCUGAAAAAAAGGAGGCCUCAGAGUUUGUCUUUGUUUCAACAGUUCAGAAAUGGCUUCGUUAUGCCCCAGAGCGGCUGGGGGGAAUUGCUCGUGGUGGAAAACCAUAAGUUCAUUCUUAUCUGUUUUGCUGAGUAAAUACAUUUCAACUGUACUAAUAAUGUUUCAGUCAUCUGUUUCUGUCUUGGUUGUUUCUAUUUGCAUUUGACUGAAUUU